This 84-nucleotide non-coding RNA is filed under the name Alkalibacter saccharofermentans. RNAcentral describes it as "c-di-GMP sequence". It matches the Rfam family "c-di-GMP-I riboswitch aptamer". From Rfam's summary of the family: GEMM was predicted in a large-scale screen for bacterial structured RNA regulatory elements. Genes associated with GEMM are involved in a diverse array of functions, including chemotaxis regulation, signal transduction, secretion and chitin. Lineage: Bacteria; Bacillati; Bacillota; Clostridia; Eubacteriales; Eubacteriaceae. RNAcentral also lists the same sequence under 1 other name. The record is from RNAcentral.
UAUUGAAAAAGGUAAACUUGACGAAAGUCAAGGACACAAAGCGUGAAGUCUAAGGCAAAUUGCUAUGACGGUUCGGCUGCCAAA